UAGAGUUUGAUCAUGGCUCAGGAUGAACGCUAGCGGCAGGCCUAACACAUGCAAGUCGAGGGGUAACAGAGAAGCUUGCUUCUGCUGACGACCGGCGCACGGGUGCGUAACGCGUAUGCAACCUACCUCAUACUGGAGAAUAGCCCUUGGAAACGAGGAUUAAUACUCCAUAGUAUCAUUCUUUCGCAUGUUAGAAUGAUUAAAGAAUUUCGGUAUGAGAUGGGCGUGCGUCCCAUUAGCUAGUUGGUGAGGUAACGGCUCACCAAGGCGACGAUGGGUAGGGGGCCUGAGAGGGUGGUCCCCCACACUGGUACUGAGACACGGACCAGACUCCUACGGGAGGCAGCAGUGAGGAAUAUUGGUCAAUGGAGGCAACUCUGAACCAGCCAUGCCGCGUGAAGGAUGACGGCCCUAUGGGUUGUAAACUUCUUUUAUAUGGGAAGAAACUUAUCUACGUGUAGAUAACUGACGGUACCAUACGAAUAAGGAUCGGCUAACUCCGUGCCAGCAGCCGCGGUAAUACGGAGGAUCCAAGCGUUAUCCGGAUUCAUUGGGUUUAAAGGGUCCGUAGGCGGAUUUUUAAGUCAGUGGUGAAAGCCGGCAGCUCAACUGUCGAACUGCCAUUGAUACUGGAAAUCUUGA
Molecule: ribosomal RNA, 642 nt
Filed under: uncultured bacterium
Lineage: Bacteria
Description: bacterial SSU rRNA
Rfam family: Bacterial small subunit ribosomal RNA
Source: RNAcentral